GAAAAAGAAAACGAAAGAACGGCAGAUAUCGAAUUUGGUACCCUAACACGUAAUCACAAUUUCCCCCUUCUUCUUCCCGCCACACUGCGUCAGUUCAGAGAACGAGAUCCUACACCGUAGAAAUGGAGUUGACGUUGAGUGAUAACUCCCUCAAAACCUUUGCACGAUGCAUCACGUGCCUCGCACGCAUCGGAAACGAACUCUCAAUUCAAGCUUCUUCUUCACAGCUUCUUUUCCACACUAUCAAUUCAUCACGUUCUGCAUAUCAAUCCAUACAUUUCAAACCCAGCUUCUUUGACGUAUACACGGUUUCCAGUGUUCCCGUGCAAUGUAGCGUGCUUCUGAAGGCUGUUUGUGCUGUUCUUAGGACACCUAUAGCAAAUAUUGAUCAUUUGACAGUGAAAUUACUGGAGCCGGAUGCUCCGAAAGUUGAGUGGAUUCUAGAUUGCUACAGCGGUAUGAGAAAAACCUAUUGGAUUACUUGCAAUGUUGAACCUGACAUUCAGCACUUGUCCCUUGACAGGCAAAAAUUUCCAAGCAACUUUGUCGUGAGGCCUCGAGAUCUGAACAGGUUACUUGCUAAUUUUCAGUCAUCUCUUCAAGAAAUCACUAUCAUUGCAACCGAACCUGCUUCUGUACCUCCUGAUUCUGCUAAUGAAAUUGGUGGAAAGGCCGUUGAACUUCGAAGUUACAUUGACCCAACCAAAGACAAUGAUUCAUUGCUACACACCCAACUCUGGAUAGAUCCUAAGGAGGAGUUUUUGCAGUAUGUUCAUACUGGGGACCCUGUAGAUGUGACUUUCAGUGUAAAAGAACUGAAGGCAUUUCUUUCAUUUUGCGAGGGCUGUGAAAUUGAUAUCCAUUUACAUUUUGAGAAAACUGGCGAACCAAUUCUCAUGGCACCUAAAUUUGGUUUGGAAGAUGGGUCCCAUUCGAAUUUUGAUGCUACCCUUGUACUGGCAACCAUGUUAACAUCUCAGCUUCAUGAAGGCGCAGCAUCAGAACCUCCAGUGGUGCCUAACAAUACACAUGCUCGAACUGAAGAAAGAAAUGAAUCUCCAUUGCAGCAAGAGAACUGCAGAUUGAAUGCAUCAGAGCUUCCGUCUGACCACACCCGUAUUUGGUCAGACCUUUCAGCAACUGCAGUUAAGAAUACUAGUGCCAUGGAAGAAAGGCAGGCCCAAGAAAGAACAACUUUGAAUGAUAACGAACAAAGAGAAAUUCAAAAGAUUAGUACAGUGCAAAUUUCAAGAGGAAAAUUAGCCGCAGGAAAUAAUCCCAGGGAUUCCAAUUUCUGCCAACCAACUGAAAAUGAUCAUGUACAAGAGCCUCAAGAUAUGUUGCCAAACAAUGGUCAAGCGGUUUCACAGCAUCAUCCCAGUAAUUGGGUAGAUGCUGAAGAGGAUGACGAAGACGACGCCGAUGAGGAUGAGCAGUACAUUCAGGCAACACCACCAUACUAUGAUGAACAAUAAUUCAAAGAACUCUACUGUAAUGGCUCUUUAUCUUGGAAAAAAAUUGUCCUUGUUUUACCGUUGGGAGAAAUAUUCAAGGGUUUAAGAAAAAGCUAAUUUGGUUGACAAUGUGGAGGGCAGAGAACUUGUCUUGGACCACUAUACCCAUUCAGAAGGAUAAGGAGGUAGGUAGCUACUUGUAUAUUAUUUUACAUUUGAAUAUCAGGAUUUCCUGCAAGAUUAGUUAUGGGAGUUCGACUACAUGGGACUCGUUCAACUGUUUAUACCAAAUUCCAGAUAAUCCUAGAUUUGACAUUGGUUUCUUCUGGAUUCUAAUUUAAUAUUCCUGACAUGUGAAUAUAUGUUUUCUUCCAAAAGUCUUUCUUGAAUAUAUGAGAACCUUUCCUUA
RNA transcript from Lathyrus oleraceus (garden pea), 1863 nucleotides. RefSeq lists it as uncharacterized. The transcript has 12 exons. Lineage: Eukaryota; Viridiplantae; Streptophyta; Magnoliopsida; Fabales; Fabaceae. The record is from RefSeq and is a predicted model, not a curated record.